This 497-nucleotide ribosomal RNA is filed under the name uncultured bacterium. RNAcentral's name for it is "partial 16S ribosomal RNA". It matches the Rfam family "Bacterial small subunit ribosomal RNA", at positions 28 to 507 of the family's 1533-position model. The record is from RNAcentral.
GAUGAACGCUGGCGGCGUGCCUAAUACAUGCAAGUCGAGCGAACGGACGAGAAGCUUGCUUUUCUGAUGUUAGCGGCGGACGGGUGAGUAACACGUGGAUAACCUACCUAUAAGACUGGGAUAACUUCGGGAAACCGGAGCUAAUACCGGAUAAUAUUUUGAACCGCAUGGUUCAAAAGUGAAAGACGGUCUUGCUGUCACUUAUAGAUGGAUCCGCGCUGCAUUAGCUAGUUGGUAAGGUAACGGCUUACCAAGGCAACGAUGCAUAGCCGACCUGAGAGGGUGAUCGGCCACACUGGAACUGAGACACGGUCCAGACUCCUACGGGAGGCAGCAGUAGGGAAUCUUCCGCAAUGGGCGAAAGCCUGACGGAGCAACGCCGCGUGAGUGAUGAAGGUCUUCGGAUCGUAAAACUCUGUUAUUAUGGAAGAACAUAUGUGUAAGUAACUGUGCACAUCUUGACGGUACCUAAUCAGAAAGCCACGGCUAACUACGUG